GGAGCUGCAGCAGGCAGCUGUGGUGACUUAGGGGGCCAUGGCAUUCAUUGUCGCCCUGGGCUGGAGUGCCCAGGAGGUGGGACACUGUAGGGUGAGGGGUACGGCCAGCAGCAGUCUGGCAUUCUCCCAAGGUGCUGCAAUAACCCCGGGCUGUGGGGACAUCAGUGCAGCUGCAGGUCUCCACUGUCCUCCAUGGCCUCUCCCUUUCCGUCACACAGCUCAGAGAGCUGGUUGUUCACGCGCUUGGCGCUGCAUGACCUCAUCGUGCUCUCGUGACAACACCUUUUUACCCUAAAACCCAGAAUACAUGCAUAAUGAAAGCAUUACGGGAUGUAAGAGCUGUGCACGCCAGGGCUGCUGGUGCCAGGAGAAAACUGGACAAGGUGACAUGCCUCUCUGAUUCACCUUGAUUCAGGGAAUGUACUAAGUGUGGCAAAGCACAGGAUUGUUUAAAAAGAAAAAGAAAGAAAAAAAAAAAAGGCCGUCAGGUAUUCUAAUGGAAUUUCUAACCGUGGAGUUGGAGGACAAACCAGACAAAGCUUUAUAAAAGGAACCAAAAGGCCAAAAUUCAGGGUUUUGGAACAUCUGAAUCAGUAAUCAUUGUUUAGGCCUUUAGAAGGUAAGUUGAAAAAUGUCUGUUGACAGUGGCACUGCCUGGUAUUUUUAACAAUGAAAAUCUGUUUAUAACAUGAGAGUUGAAUGUCUGAUGCAAAACAGUUUUGUAUUGUUUGUCCAGUUUCUUGUGGAGAAGUGUCUGUCGUAUGCAGAGUCAAAUGUAUUGGUGUGUUGGCUUUAAAUAGGUCUGUUAUACAAUGUAAGUAGCAAAGAAAAAUCUGGGUGAAGGCAAAUGACCAUUAUUACAAUGAGGUUCUGAAUUCAUGAGCCAGCCCCUCAAGAUCACAGAAUCCAGGUAAUUGAGCAGCAAAUGGAUUUCUGGAGGUGUCCUUCAAGGAUGUGUUGACUCUUGUAUAAAAAAACAUGCAGAGAUCC
Long non-coding RNA from Oxyura jamaicensis (ruddy duck), 990 nucleotides. RefSeq lists it as uncharacterized. The transcript has 3 exons. The record is from RefSeq and is a predicted model, not a curated record. Lineage: Eukaryota; Metazoa; Chordata; Aves; Anseriformes; Anatidae.